CAUAAGUGAAAUUCAAUGUCACCUCUUGUCUCCAGGGCCCAGCAGUCCUUGGUGGUGACUGGCAGCCUGGAGACGUCAGGCAGCAUCAGGACCCACUGGCUGCUGUGUUGCUGUGACCUCUGGAACGAGCAAACAGCUCCCACCUUCCUCCUCCAUCCCAGAGCACCCUGCAGGAGCCGCUGUUCUCUUGUACAGCUCUGUAAGAUGUGAGCAAGCAGAGGAGCAGCACCUUGAAGGAACAUCCAGACACAGCCUUCCUGCUUCCUGACCUCAGCACAGGGAUGCUGAUCUCUGCAAUGCCCUGUCCUUGUCCCCAGGCUCCUCCAGCCCCUUCUUCCAGCCCAGCCCCUCUCACUUGCAGCUCAGCAGUGGUGAGUUAAAAGAAAACUGUGGCAAAUUAAUCUGAAAAGGGAGAGCAGCCUUUGCAGUAGCUGAGGAAUACCUCUCUUAUCUGCACUGUCUGAGGCUGCAGAGCCACUGGGAAUUCAGAUUGGUCUUCACGUCUGAUGCGCUGCUGGGAAAUGCAUUCUGGAUGUUGAGUUUAAACAUGUCUCCAGAGGCAGCACUUGGCUGGCUGGGUGCCUGCUGCACUGCUUCCCAGCUACAUCACUUGGGUCUGGAUUUAAUACCGAGUACAUUCUACUGGUUCCUUUUUAUAGCAGCUGGCAAUAAACACAUCAUGUUACGGCUUUAUUUUGGCUACAGAUUAAUUGUAGAGAAUGUAAUUGCUUCCCCAUUUGAAGCCAGGGGGAAGCCCACAGAGUAGGUCAUCAGCUUCUUGGAGCAUCACCUGGGAGAUGGUCUUUAACAUUUGUUUGUUUUUCUAUAAGUAGGUGAGGAUUAAAAAUCAAAAGCAUCCUGCAACAACUACUCCUCUACCUAGGAAAGCACCAAGUCACUCCUGGUUCUACCGCUGUGAUGAGCAAAGGAAACCUUGAGGGAUAGGUUCGGACUUGUUACACUUAGCACUGCUCCCUUCCUCUUUUAGCUAGUAGGCAAUUAUCAGAUCCGAUCAACAGAAACAGACCUUUCCCAGAGCACAGCUCUUGUGCAGUGUUCUGCAGGUUUGGCCAACUGCACGCCUUCGGUGCUUCAGAUCCAUCUCAACGGUGUUCAGUGUGGCACUCGUGAAUCUUCACUGGGCCCUUCACUGUCCAGGAGGGGACAAUGGGCUGAGCUCUUCCAUCGAGCCUGCAGUCCCCAUUACACCGCUUUCACUCCCAGCAGCUAUUCAGUUCCUGAGUUCUAUAGUUCCUGCAUUUACUGCCUCCCAUGCAUGGGCUGUUCUCCCUCUCUGAUGCAUAGAAAUGUUGAUCUAAACUAUGAGUUGGCAGCUUGGAAGCUUUUCUUCCAGGUACAAUCUCUGCUUCCUAAGCAGGUUUUUGAGGAUGUGUCUAUUGCAGCUUUCAGCACAUCAGUGACAAUCACAGCCAACCUCAUGGUCACUGAGAACUUCAGUUUGCUGCUUGGCCUCUUUGCCUGGAAACAACAGGAUGUUUGUUUGAGAAUGGAGCAAACAAGAUGUGACACUGUGGAGGCUUUUCAGCUUAAAGGGACCACUUCCAUCCCGGAACGCCGGUCUCAUCCCAGCUCUGCAGGCAGCCACGGCACGUGGGCCUUUUUGGAAAUGCACCUGAAGACCGUUCUGGGAUCCUUCCAUCCCACACUUCCUGGCAGGCUGCUCCAGAGCCUUCCUCCUGAGGUUGUGAGUGCUGACUUCUAAACGCUGGGAUGUUCCCACUCGUCUCCACAGCAGUACCCCUCACACUCAGAAAGGUGGUGCUCUUGCAUAUUUUUACUCUUUUUUCUUCCUUCCUUUGUAAGGCUAAAUCAGUAAAGCUCCUCAAGCCUAAUGAAACAGCAGGUUUUUACUCUUUGCAGUACUCUUAAGAAGUGAUAAAUAUCGCCUGGAUUUAAACGUUACUGCCAGUCACGUUUGUUGUUGCAGUGAUCUCAAGCUCGUGUUGUCUCUGACAGCUGAAGGACAGCAGAGCUCCAGGAACUGAAGCCUUUCAGUCAAGUGAACUCUAAAGUAAGAAAACAAUCGUAUUGG
RNAcentral lists this long non-coding RNA (2053 nucleotides) under Gallus gallus (chicken). Its description in RNAcentral is "long non-coding RNA NONGGAT003612". Lineage: Eukaryota; Metazoa; Chordata; Aves; Galliformes; Phasianidae. The record is from RNAcentral.